Capsicum annuum is the source of this 2055-nucleotide long non-coding RNA. RefSeq lists it as uncharacterized. The transcript has 3 exons. NCBI's taxonomy places the organism in Eukaryota, Viridiplantae, Streptophyta, Magnoliopsida, Solanales, Solanaceae. The record is from RefSeq and is a predicted model, not a curated record.
AAUCACACAUACAUAUACAUAAAUUAAUUAGGUUCAAGUCUGUAUACAUAGGAACAACGGUUAAAUUUUCUAGCUUGAAAACGUGGGUUGUUACAGUUCUUUUCUAUUUUUAGGUUCUUUUCCCCUCUUUGUGUGCUUAAUUAUGAUUCUUUUGGCUUUAAUUUAAGCUUAUUCAGUGGAACUAUUGUUUCUUUGUGCGAACUGCGGGUGAAAAAAAUUGUGACUCAUUCUUUAUUUUCUUUGUUUCUCUUCCAAAUCAUAAGGCUUAUUUUACUUGUAUUUGCAAAUUUAUUGUUUGAAUGUCCAAAUAAUUUAGGGGAAAAUAAACUGUGAGGUUAUAUGUAGUAUUGGCUUAAAGCACGCAGGUGUUCGUCUUUGUGCUAGCUUACCCACAAAAGGUCUUUUAUGCCAAUUAUAUCAUAGUGAAGUAGCUUAAUUUGUUAGGGUUGCUCCACAUAAAACCAUGAAAAAAGCACAUACUUUUUGUGCAAUUCUUAUCUUUGCGUAGCUCAGCAACAAUCAAGAAAACUAAUUCAAUUUAAAGUGAACAACUCUUCAAAAUCUGUAAGUUGUUCGUUUCUUAGUGCCAAUCCUAUAUAGAUUUCUUCAAUUUUGGUUCAGAAUAAUGAUGUAUUAUGUUUUAUGUAAUUUGGGCUUGAGGGAUGUUUGAGUUAAAUCUAAAGUAAUUCAAUGUCAAGUUUGUUGUUUUGUGUGGCUCUUUUCAUUGGCUCUCAAUUUUGUUGAUUUUCUAUGUGCGAUUGGAAAAACUGAGUGUCGAAAUUUUCUUUGGGUCAUAUUUAAAAAUUGAUGGUGGUACUUCUCUGUGUGAUUUGGAAAUUUAUUGUUUGGGUCAACUUAUGCCCACUAGGUGUUUGUGGAAAUUCUCCAACUAAGCAGUCUCUUCCAACCACAAUUUUGUUGUCAUAUAUCAGUUGAGAAUAAUUCGUAUUUUAGUUAUGCUUUUUGCCUUUCUUCAAAUUAUACUUGCUUGUUUUUCUGUAUGGAUAUAUUUUCAUUUCUUUGGAGCACCUAUGUCUAUUUACUAGAGUGGAAGUCCAUUUGGCACUAGGAUGAUGUUAUAUGUAAAUUGUGGCUAAAAAACUUGAGUAAACAUUAAUGAACUAUCAUUAAUGUUAUUGCAAAUGUAAAAUCUUGUCGUACAAUAAUCAAUUGAAUUCAUAAUCUAGAAAAAUUCAAUUGCAUAUAUGACAUUUUCUGUAUUUACUCUAUUUUCUUCCAAUGCUCUUCGUGUGUUUUAGAGAAAUUAAACGAGAUCAAUGAUAGCGUCUAUGGUCUCAACAGCUCAAAGUUAUGCUUAUCUAAUAGCUCUUACAUAAGAGAUUGAAAAGAAGCCUCAACGUGGUCCAUCCAUUGACUUCACCCUCGCAGAGGUGUAACUUAUUGCAAAAGCUUUUUGCUGAUGUAGCUUUGGAAGUAGACAAUCAAGCUAAAGGAGGUUUCUUACUCGAAGAUGUUUCAACUGAAAUGGAUGCAGCUUAUGAAACACCUAAUUUAUCAACACAUGCUGAUGGAUAAUGAUCAAGCGAGAAAUUAACAUUCAAAUCUAGAACAUAUAAAACACAACAAUUGUGCUGAGAUCAUCAGUUUGAGGAUAGUAAGUUUUGCUUCCUUCGUGAUCAGGUAUUGAGUGUUGUAUCCGAGAGGAACACCAUAGAUUUUAAGGGUGUUUUGAGAUUUGAUAAUCACAUUUGUGUUCCGAGGAUCGAUGACUUGAUUCAGUUGAUUCUUCAUGCUUUUACUUCACCAGUGGAUUGACGUCGUCGAAAAGUUGAUAAUCCUUAUUUGCUAGAAGAACUUGGCUUAUCAUUAGCUUGUAGUUUUUGUUAGGUGAAUAAUUUAAUGAAGUGUGAUCGCGCAACAACGUUUUGGGAAAGAAAUGGAUGGUGUAGAUAGGAAAAGGUCACUUCUGUUUCUGUUUUGAUUUCUGCCAUAACUUUUCCAAUACGUUUUAUAGAUAAUAUAUGUCACUUUUUUGCUUUUCAUUCAGAAGCAGUGCAUGAUGAAUUUAAGUCAAACUUAAACACAGUUGAUCAA